Molecule: non-coding RNA, 90 nt
Filed under: human gut metagenome
Description: TPP riboswitch (THI element)
Rfam family: TPP riboswitch aptamer (THI element)
About the family: Vitamin B(1) in its active form thiamin pyrophosphate (TPP) is an essential coenzyme that is synthesised by coupling of pyrimidine and thiazole moieties in bacteria. The previously detected thiamin-regulatory element, thi box was extended, resulting in a new, highly conserved RNA secondary structure, the THI element, which is widely distributed in eubacteria and also occurs in some archaea.
Source: RNAcentral
UUGACAGGGGAGCUCCAGGGAAGGAGCUGAGAGGCAGGUAUAUCCUGCGACCCUUAACCUGAUCUGGGUAAUGCCAGCGUAGGGAGCAUC